Molecule: long non-coding RNA, 446 nt
Organism: Phyllostomus hastatus (greater spear-nosed bat)
Lineage: Eukaryota; Metazoa; Chordata; Mammalia; Chiroptera; Phyllostomidae
Exons: 4
Source: RefSeq, a predicted model, not a curated record
GGAUUGGCACUGGAGUGUCCCAUGGAAACCGAACCCAGAACUGCGGCCAGGACUUUCACGGGGGCGGGACAGAGUCUUUCCAAGGCGCAUGCGCUAAGCCUGUUUCUCGGCGCCAUUUUGUCUGGGCUGCUGUGGCCACAGAUCUAUCGCGUUUCAUGUUUGUGGUGAGACGAUAGGGAAGUCCUUCUCCCGUAGAUUCUAUUUAGUGCGGCACCCGUCAGCGGUUCCCUCCAGAACAAGACCUAAUGAAGAUCGGAGGAAUAGCGGGUCUGUUUGAAAGUUGGUCUGAAGAUAACAGGACCUCUCAGGAAGUGUUACUGAGAAAAUAUUGGGAACAUAAGAAAUACUUUGUUCUUAAACUGUUUUCAUGGCUGCAUAGUGUUCUAUAGAAAAGGUCGCUUUAUGAAUGAUAGAAAUAAAAGCAAAUAAGAUGGCUCUAGUAGCGC